UACUGCUGCCGGAUCAUUAACGA
This 23-nucleotide ribosomal RNA is filed under the name Ditylenchus destructor. RNAcentral describes it as "partial 18S ribosomal RNA". Lineage: Eukaryota; Metazoa; Nematoda; Chromadorea; Rhabditida; Anguinidae. The record is from RNAcentral.